This 326-nucleotide unclassified non-coding RNA is filed under the name uncultured fungus. Its description in RNAcentral is "partial contains small subunit ribosomal RNA, internal transcribed spacer 1, and 5.8S ribosomal RNA". The stretch from base 1 to 137 matches the Rfam family "Eukaryotic small subunit ribosomal RNA", at positions 1759 to 1831 of the family's 1831-position model. Lineage: Eukaryota; Fungi. The record is from RNAcentral.
GCAAACUUGGUCAUUUAGAGGAAGUAAAAGUCGUAACAAGGUUUCCGUAGGUGAGUAAAAAUUUGUCCCCUCCACAAAUCUUGCAGAAAUUAGGUACUAACUAAACCUUUCUAGGUGAACCUGCGGAAGGAUCAUUAUCGGGAAUGCCCCUUGGGGCUUAACCUGCAACCCUAUGCUGUUAUCGACCCUCUUAUCUUUCGGCGGGCUCGCCCGCCGGAAGAGAUCUCAUAAACUCUUGUGAACGUGUCAUGUUCUGAACAAAAUAUCAAUCAAUCAAAACUUUCAACAACGGAUCUCUUGGUUCUGGCAUCGAUGAAGAACGCAGC